GUUUUCGUAGCGCUUUGCAUUGUGGUUAUAGUGCUAUCACUGAUAUUCAAGAUGGCUUAUUUUUUGUCCUGACCCGUGCAAGAACUUUUAAAAAAAGCUAGGGUCAGGUGCGCGAUAUCCAACAGCAAAAUAUUCGCGAAAACAUUCAAUAGUUUUAUUCGAGGCCGCUAUCUUUAUCAGUGAUACCACCAUAACCACAAUGCAAAGCGCUACGAAAACGUAAUAAGGGGAAUCGUCUAUU
This 241-nucleotide long non-coding RNA is filed under the name Paramuricea clavata. The record is from RNAcentral. Lineage: Eukaryota; Metazoa; Cnidaria; Anthozoa; Malacalcyonacea; Plexauridae.